This 404-nucleotide ribosomal RNA is filed under the name uncultured bacterium. Its description in RNAcentral is "bacterial SSU rRNA". It matches the Rfam family "Bacterial small subunit ribosomal RNA", at positions 355 to 775 of the family's 1533-position model. The record is from RNAcentral.
UUAGGAAUCUUGCGCAAUGGGCGAAAGCCUGACGCAGCAACGCCGCGUGUGGGAUGAAGGCUUUCGGGUUGUAAACCACUUUCAGCAGGAACGAAAUUGACGGUACCUGCAGAAGAAGCUCCGGCCAACUACGUGCCAGCAGCCGCGGUAAUACGUAGGGAGCAAGCGUUGUCCGGAUUUAUUGGGCGUAAAGAGCUCGUAGGCGGUUAAGUAAGUCAGGUGUGAAACCUCCAGGCUCAACCUGGAGACGCCACUUGAUACUGCUUUGACUUGAGUUCGGUAGGGGUAAGCGGAAUUCCUGGUGUAGCGGUGAAAUGCGCAGAUAUCAGGAGGAACACCGACGGCGAAGGCAGCUUACUGGGCCGAUACUGACGCUGAGGAGCGAAAGCGUGGGGAGCGAACAG